This 324-nucleotide ribosomal RNA is filed under the name Triticum aestivum (bread wheat). RNAcentral's name for it is "partial small subunit ribosomal RNA". The record is from RNAcentral. Lineage: Eukaryota; Viridiplantae; Streptophyta; Magnoliopsida; Poales; Poaceae.
AUGCGUCUUAUCAGAUCUUAUAAUUUGAUGUUUGCUUUUACUUCUCUUGGAGCGAAGGUUGAUGAUAGCAUAAAUGUGGGUCAGGGUGUCUACAUACUUAAAAUAAAUGGUGUUGCCUACCAUCGGAUAGAUUUGUUGGUGCCGCCAAGGGGCGUGUCGCCAAAGUUUGCGCAACUCUAUAUCUAUGAUACUGAGAAUGAGUUGGUUAAGCAGUUCAGGAUGCUUUGGGUUUCCUGUGAGCGACUUGAGUCACCUGCUUCAGGUUCUAUUAGUAUUAGGAUUGUUGGAUCUGGUACAAUAUAUGUGUUGCAGAAUGUCUAUUGA